Molecule: transfer RNA, 71 nt
Filed under: Marmota monax (woodchuck)
Lineage: Eukaryota; Metazoa; Chordata; Mammalia; Rodentia; Sciuridae
Description: tRNA.Ala
Source: RNAcentral
GUGGUUAUGCCUCAGUGAUAGAGCACUCGCCUUGCACUUGGGAGACCCUGGGUUGGAUCCUCAGUACCACA